RNAcentral lists this ribosomal RNA (641 nucleotides) under Bacillus sp. (in: firmicutes). Its description in RNAcentral is "bacterial SSU rRNA". It matches the Rfam family "Bacterial small subunit ribosomal RNA", at positions 37 to 662 of the family's 1533-position model. Lineage: Bacteria; Bacillati; Bacillota; Bacilli; Caryophanales; Bacillaceae. The record is from RNAcentral.
UGGCGGCGUGCUAUACAUGCAGGUCGAGCGAACCGACGGGAGCUUGCUCCCUUAGGUUAGCGGCGGACGGGUGAGUAACACGUGGGUAACCUGCCUGUAAGACUGGGAUAACUCCGGGAAACCGGGGCUAAUACCGGAUGCUUGAUUGAACCGCAUGGUUCAAUCAUAAAAGGCGGCUUCGGCUGCCGUUUACAGAUGGACCCGCGGCGCAUUAGCUAGUUGGUGAGGUAAUGGCUCACCAAGGCGACGAUGCGUAGCCGACCUGAGAGGGUGAUCGGCCACACUGGGACUGAGACACGGCCCAGACUCCUACGGGAGGCAGCAGUAGGGAAUCUUCCGCAAUGGACGAAAGUCUGACGGAGCAACGCCGCGUGAGUGAUGAAGGUUUUCGGAUCGUAAAGCUCUGUUGUUAGGGAAGAACAAGUACCGUUCGAAUAGGGCGGUACCUUGACGGUACCUAACCAGAAAGCCACGGCUAACUACGUGCCAGCAGCCGCGGUAAUACGUAGGUGGCAAGCGUUGUCCGGAAUUAUUGGGCGUAAAGCGCGCGCAGGCGGUUUCUUAAGUCUGAUGUGAAAGCCCCCGGCUCAACCGGGGAGGGUCAUUGGAAACUGGGGAACUUGAGUGCAGAAGAGGAGAGU